RNAcentral lists this long non-coding RNA (265 nucleotides) under Phoenix dactylifera (date palm). Its description in RNAcentral is "long non-coding RNA (PDAC_LNC000584)". Lineage: Eukaryota; Viridiplantae; Streptophyta; Magnoliopsida; Arecales; Arecaceae. The record is from RNAcentral.
GACACCUAUGGCACGGGCAAGAUUCCGGAUAAGGAGAUCUUGAAGAUUGUGAAGGAGAAUUUUGAUUUCAGGCCUGGAAUGAUCAUCAUCAACCUCGACCUGAAGAGGGGCGGCAACGGCAGGUUCCUGAAGACAGCGGCUUACGGGCAUUUCGGCAGGGUCGACCCCGACUUCACCUGGGAGGUCGUGAAGCCCCUCAAGGAGGAGAAACCCACGGCCUAAACAAAACCAGUACUUCAUAGAUACCAUCUCUCUUCUGGUCUUC